Molecule: ribosomal RNA, 254 nt
Filed under: uncultured bacterium
Lineage: Bacteria
Description: partial 16S ribosomal RNA
Rfam family: Bacterial small subunit ribosomal RNA
Source: RNAcentral
UACGUAGGGCGCAAGCGUUAUCCGGAAUUAUUGGGCGUAAAGAGCUCGUAGGCGGUUUGUCGCGUCUGCCGUGAAAGUCCGGGGCUCAACUCCGGAUCUGCGGUGGGUACGGGCAGACUAGAGUGAUGUAGGGGAGACUGGAAUUCCUGGUGUAGCGGUGAAAUGCGCAGAUAUCAGGAGGAACACCGGUGGCGAAGGCGGGUCUCUGGGCCAUAACUGACGCUGAGGAGCGAAAGCGUGGGGGAGCGAAUGGG